GUAGGGAAUAUUGGGCAAUGGAUGCAAGUCUGACCCAGCCAUCCCGCGUGCCGGAAGAAGGCCCUCGGGGUUGUAAACGGCUUUUGACGGUGAAGAAUCGACAGGAUGCGUCCUGUUUUGACGGUAGCCGUUGAAUAAGCACCGGCUAACUCCGUGCCAGCAGCCGCGGUAAUACGGAGGGUGCGAGCGUUGUCCGGAUUUAUUGGGUUUAAAGGGUGCGUAGGCUGGAAGGUCAGUCAGCGGUGAAAAGCUGUCGCUUAACGAUAGUCUUGCCGCAGAUACUUCCUUUCUUGGAUGAGGAGGAGGCCACUGGAACGGAUGGUGUAGCGGUGAAAUGCAUAGAUAUCAUCCAGAACACCGAUUGCGAAGGCAGGUGGCUGUACCUUAAUCGACGCUGAUGCACGAAAGCAUGGGGAGCAAACAGGAUUAGAAACCCGGGUAGUCC
RNAcentral lists this ribosomal RNA (445 nucleotides) under uncultured bacterium. RNAcentral describes it as "partial 16S ribosomal RNA". It matches the Rfam family "Bacterial small subunit ribosomal RNA", at positions 354 to 796 of the family's 1533-position model. The record is from RNAcentral.